This 407-nucleotide ribosomal RNA is filed under the name uncultured bacterium. Its description in RNAcentral is "partial 16S ribosomal RNA". It matches the Rfam family "Bacterial small subunit ribosomal RNA", at positions 30 to 526 of the family's 1533-position model. The record is from RNAcentral.
AUUGAACGCUGGCGGCAGGCCUAACACAUGCAAGUCGAGCGGAUGGCCGGACGGGUAAGUAAUGCCUAGGAAUCUGCCAGGGAGUGGGGGAUAACGUCCGGAACCGGGCGCUAAAACCGAUUACUAUCAGAGUAGCCUAGGCCGGAUUAGCUAUUUGGUGGGGUAAAGGCAUACCCAGGCGACGACCCGGAACUGUUCUGAGAGGAUGAUCAGUCACACUGGAACUGAGACACGUUCCAGACUCCUACGGGAGGCAGCAGUGGGGAAUAUUGGACAAUGGGCGAAAGCCUGAUCCAGCCAUGCCGCGUGUGUGAAGAAGGUCUUCGGAUUGUAAAGCACUUUAAGUUGGGAGGCGUUACCAACAGAAUAAGCACCGGCUAACUUCGUGCCAGCAGCCGCGGUAAUUC